RNAcentral lists this small nuclear RNA (105 nucleotides) under Physeter macrocephalus (sperm whale). Lineage: Eukaryota; Metazoa; Chordata; Mammalia; Artiodactyla; Physeteridae. The record is from RNAcentral.
GUUCACUUCAGCUGCACAUAUACUCAAAUUGGAAUGAUGUAGAAGAGAUUAGUAUGGUCCUUGCACAAGGAUGACAUGCAAAUUCGUGAAGAUUCCAUAUUUUUA